Molecule: ribosomal RNA, 492 nt
Filed under: uncultured bacterium
Lineage: Bacteria
Description: partial 16S ribosomal RNA
Rfam family: Bacterial small subunit ribosomal RNA
Source: RNAcentral
GUUGAACGCUGGCGGCAUGCUUUACACAUGCAAGUCGAACGGUAACAGGCCUUCGGGUGCUGACGAGUGGCGAACGGGUGAGUAAUGCAUCGGCACGUGCCCCGAGGUGGGGGAUAACGCAGCGAAAGCUGUGCUAAGACCGCAUGUGAUCUGAGGAUGAAAGCGGGGGACCAGGCAGCAAUGUUUGGCUUCGCGCCUUUGGUGCGGCCGAUGUCAGAUUAGGUAGUUGGUGGGGUAAAGGCCUACCAAGCCGACGAUCCGUAGCUGGUCUGAGAGGACGAUCAGCCACACUGGAACUGAGACACGGCCCAGACUCCUACGGGAGGCAGCAGUAGGGAAUUUUGGACAAUGGGCGCAAGCCUGAUGCAGCAAUGCCGCGUGCGGGAAGAAGGCCUUCGGGUUGUAAACCGCUUUUGUACGGAACGAAAAGGCUCUGGCUAAUACCUGGAGCUGAUGACGGUACCGAAAGAGUAAGCACCGGCUAACUACGUG